Molecule: ribosomal RNA, 253 nt
Filed under: uncultured bacterium
Lineage: Bacteria
Description: partial 16S ribosomal RNA
Rfam family: Bacterial small subunit ribosomal RNA
Source: RNAcentral
UACGUAGGCAGCAAGCGUUGUUCGGAAUUACUGGGCGUAAAGAGUGUGUAGGCGGUGCUCUAAGUCUGUCGUGAAAUCUCCCGGCUUAACUGGGAGGGUGCGGCGGAAACUGGAAUGCUAGAGGGUGGGAGAGGAAAGCGGAAUUCCUGGUGUAGCGGUGAAAUGCGUAGAUAUCAGGAGGAACACCUGCGGUGUAGACAGCUUUCUGGACGACAACUGACGCUGAGACGCGAAAGCGUGGGGAGCAAACAGG